AGGGUUUGAUCAUGGCUCAGAACGUACGCUGGCGGCACGCCUAACACAUGCAAGUCGAACGAAGUAGCAAUACUUAGUGGCAGACGGGUGAGUAACAUGUAGGUAUCUUCCCUUUGGCCUGGAAUAACACGAGGAAACUUGUGCUAAUACCGGAUAAGUCUUUACGGAGAAAGCUUUAUGCACCAUUGGAUGAGCCUGCACUUGAUUAGUUUGUUGGUGGGGUAAUGGCCUACCAAGACUUUGAUCAAUAGCUGAUUUGAGAGGAUGAUCAGCCACAUUGGGACUGAGACACGGCCCAAACUCCUACGGGAGGCAGCAGUGGGGAAUCUUGCACAAUGGAGGAAACUCUGAUGCAGCGAUGCCGCGUGAGUGAAGAAGGCCUUUGGGUUGUAAAGCUCUUUCGUCGGGGAAGAAAAUGACUGUACCCGAAUAAGAAGGUCCGGCUAACUUCGUGCCAGCAGCCGCGGUAAUACGAAGGGACCUAGCGUAGUUCGGAAUUACUGGGCUUAAAGAGUUCGUAGGUGGUUGAAAAAGUUGGUGGUGAAAUCCCAGAGCUUAACUCUGGAACUGCCAUCAAAACUUUUCAGCUAGAGUUUGAUAGAGGAAAGCAGAAUUUCUAGUGUAGAGGUGAAAUUCGUAGAUAUUAGAAAGAAUACCAAUUGCGAAGGCAGCUUUCUGGAUCAUUACUGACACUGAGGAACGAAAGCAUGGGUAGCGAAGAGGAUUAGAUACCCUCGUAGUCCAUGCCGUAAACGAUGUGUGUUAGACGUUGGAAAUUUAUUUUCAGUGUCGCAGCGAAAGCGAUAAACACACCGCCUGGGGAGUACGACCGCAAGGUUAAAACUCAAAUGAAUUGACGGGGACCCGCACAAGUAGUGGAGCAUGUGGUUUAAUUCGAAGAUACGCGCAGAACCUUACCAACACUUGACAUGUUCGUCGCGACUUUAAGAGAUUAAAGUUUUCGGUUCGGCCGGACGAAACACAGGUGCUGCAUGGCUGUCGUCAGCUCGUGUCGUGAGAUGUUGGGUUAAGUCCCGCAACGAGCGCAACCCUCACUUUUAGUUGCCAUCAUUUAGUUGGGCACUCUGAAAGAACUGCCAGUGAUAAGCUGGAGGAAGGUGGGGAUGACGUCAAGUCCUCAUGGCCCUUACGUGUUGGGCUACACACGUGCUACAAUGGUAUCUACAACAGGAAGCAAAACGGCGACGUUAAGCAAAUCCUUAAAAGAUACCUCAGUUCGGAUUGUACUCUGCAACUCGAGUACAUGAAGCUGGAAUUACUAGUAAUCGUGGAUCAGCGUGCCACGGUGAAUGCGUUCCCGGGUCUUGUACACACCGCCCGUCACACCAUGGGAGUUGGUUCUACCUUAAGGCAAGGUUUAAAACCCUUGACCACGGUAUAGUCAGCGACUGGGGUGAAGUCAUAACAAGGUAACCGUA
This 1439-nucleotide ribosomal RNA is filed under the name uncultured bacterium. RNAcentral describes it as "bacterial SSU rRNA". It matches the Rfam family "Bacterial small subunit ribosomal RNA". The record is from RNAcentral.